This is a microRNA precursor of Oryza sativa Indica Group (long-grained rice), 188 nucleotides long. It matches the Rfam family "MIR812 microRNA precursor family". The record is from Rfam. NCBI's taxonomy places the organism in Eukaryota, Viridiplantae, Streptophyta, Magnoliopsida, Poales, Poaceae.
UAUACGUGCAACCAUCAGAUUCUGCGUCUAACUUUGAUCGUCCAUCUUAUUUAAAAUUUUUAUAAUUACUAUUUGUUACGAGAUGUAUUUUACUUGUGACUUAUGUUUUUAAAUUUCUUUAAAAAAGUUUCAAAUACGACGAACGAAAAGUGAAAAGUUAGACGUGGAAAACCAUGGCUGCACUUAAA